AUGGAUUUCGAGCUGCGGAGCGCGCCGGAGAAGCUGGAGAGGGAGCAGCGGGAGCGGAUGCAGCGCGCUAAGGCCAAAGCCGACCGUGAGCGCCGCGCCAAGGCCGAGGCCGCGCGCCGCCGCGACGCGCUCGAGGCCUCAAACAGGGAGCGCCGCCUCGACGCCGCCCGGGCGCAGGAAGAGGCUGACCAGAAAAUGGAAGAGGUGAUGCAACUAGGAAAGGGGAUAUCUUUUUCACACAUGUUUGAAGCACUGCGAUAUGACGGUCCAGGGGAUAAGAUUAAGCUGCCACCGUCUUCUUUCAAGGAUUUAUCCGAUCAAGGAGCGCUUGACAAAGGUCCCAUGUACUUCAGGCUGUCCAAGGUUAGGGACAGAGUUCCAGGUACCUCUCCAGAUCAAGACGCCGAGGAGGCAACCUGCUGUGGCGUUCUUGAAUUCACUGCAAGGGAAGGCUCUGCACAACUCCCAUCACAUGUCUGGAACAAUUUGUUUCAGAGUGACAUCCCAGAUGUUCCUUUGAUUGAGGUGAGGUAUGCAAGUUUGCCCAAAGGGACAUAUGCGAAACUUAAGCCGGAAGGAGUGGGAUUCUCAGAUCUCCCUAACCAUAGAGCUGUCCUUGAAACGGCACUGCGCAAUCACGCAACACUAUCUGAAAAUGAUGUUGUCAUGGUCAACUACGGACAACUGCAGUAUAAGUUGAAGGUUCUUGAGUUGAAGCCCGCAUCAAGUGUUUCUGUGCUGGAGACGGAUAUUGAAGUUGACAUUGAGAGACCAGAUUCAGUUUUCGACAAUGAAGAAAAUCAACAUGUGCUUGUGCCGCUCGAGACUGGGAAGGUCGAAUCUGGAGCUGUGGAAGAAGGGAAGUUCAGGUACUACAAAUUUUCUGUCGAGGAAGGUGUGGCUGAGAAAGUUGCGUCUGGUUGUGUAAAUAUUGAGGUUAAGAUAGAGUCUGAUACAAGUGGCAGUGACACUGAUAUUUAUGUUUCAAGGCAUCCUUUAGUAUUCCCAACUCAGCACCGUCAUGAGUGGUCAUCUCAUGAGAUGGGAUCUAAGGUUCUUAUACUCAAACCAAAGGAUGCUACUUUGGUCAGUGGCCUUUACAGUCUUGGGGUUUACGGUUUCAAGGGCACAGCGAAGUUUCAACUUUCUGUAGCUGUCAAGGAUGUUAUUGAUAGCCAAAGGAUUGAUGAGCAGGGUAGUGUGUCAUCAGCCGUCAAUGGUGACUCAGUGGUUUGUAAGAACUGCAAACGACAUAUAUCUAGCCGGACCUCAGUACUUCAUGAGGCAUACUGUGUGAGGCACAAUGUUAUUUGCAUGCAUGAUGGAUGUGGAGUAGUUCUUCGUAAGGAAGCAGCAGCAGAUCAUGUGCAUUGCAGUAAGUGUGGACAAGCUUUCCAGCAGAGAGAAAUGGAGAAGCACAUGAAAGUCUUCCAUGAGCCGCUGAACUGCCCCUGCGGGGUAGUUCUAGAAAAGGAAGAAAUGCAGUAUAUGAUAAUGGGCUGUUUGGUUCUAGGCCUAGCAGCCACAUUUUGCCACACAUUUUUGCCAAGCUUGCCCAAGGUCAAACACCAAUCCUCAACCUGCCCAUUUCGCCUGAUUGUGUGCCGUUUCUGUGGCGACACGGUUCAAGCUGGUGGACAACCGCUGGAUGUUCGAGAUCGGCUUCGAAACAUGUGCGAACAUGAGAGUAUCUGUGGAUCCAGGACUGCACCAUGCGACUCUUGUGGGCGAUCGGUCAUGCUUAAGGAGAUGGACAUUCAUGCAAUUGCUGUCCAUCAAAAGAGCUGA
RNAcentral lists this ribosomal RNA (1788 nucleotides) under Triticum aestivum (bread wheat). Its description in RNAcentral is "partial small subunit ribosomal RNA". Lineage: Eukaryota; Viridiplantae; Streptophyta; Magnoliopsida; Poales; Poaceae. The record is from RNAcentral.